CUGGUACAAUGCGAAGCGAAGCAGUGAUGUGAAGCAAAUCGCACCAAAGCCAGUCCCAGUUCGGAUAAGAGGCUGAAACUCGCCUCUUUGAAAUCGGAAUCGCUAGUAAUCGCAGAUCAGCAUGUUGCGGUGAAUACGUUCCCGGGUCUUGUACACACCGCCCGUCAAACCAUGAGAGUCACCAACACCCGAAGUCCGCCUUGGCGGCCUAAGGUGGGGGAGAUGAUUGGGGUUAAGUCGUAACAAGGUAGC
This 252-nucleotide ribosomal RNA is filed under the name uncultured bacterium. RNAcentral's name for it is "partial 16S ribosomal RNA". It matches the Rfam family "Bacterial small subunit ribosomal RNA", at positions 1234 to 1500 of the family's 1533-position model. The record is from RNAcentral.